RNAcentral lists this ribosomal RNA (673 nucleotides) under uncultured soil bacterium. RNAcentral's name for it is "bacterial SSU rRNA". It matches the Rfam family "Bacterial small subunit ribosomal RNA", at positions 723 to 1397 of the family's 1533-position model. The record is from RNAcentral.
GGCUUGCUGGAUCGCAACUGACGCUGGGGGACGAAAGCUAGGGGAGCAAACAGGAUUAGAUACCCUGGUAGUCCUAGCCCUAAACCAUCAGGACUUGGGGUUUGCCCUGUACGGGGCAAGUCCCGGAGCUAACGCGUUAAGUCCUGCGCCUGGGGAGUACGGUCGCAAGACUGAAACUCAAAGGAAUUGACGGGGGUCCGCACAAGCGGUGGAACAUGUGGUUCAAUUCGACGCAACGCGAAGAACCUUACCUGGGCUUGAACCGCACAGGACCCUCCCUAGAAAUAGGGACUUCCCGCAAGGGACCUGUGUAGAGGUGCUGCAUGGCUGUCGUCAGCUCGUGCCGUGAGGUGUUGGGUUAAGUCCCGCAACGAGCGCAACCCUUACUCAUAGUUGCUACCCGCAAGGGAGAACUCUAUGAGGACUGCUCCGGAUAACGGAGAGGAAGGUGGGGAUGAGGUCAAGUCAGCAUGGCCUUUAUGUCCAGGGCUACACACGUGUUACAAUGCGCGCCACAAAGUGUCGCGAACCCGUGAGGGGGAGCUAAUCGCAAAAAAGCGCGCUCAGUUCGGAUUGCAGUCUGCAACUCGACUGCAUGAAGCCGGAAUCGCUAGUAAUGGCGUAUCAGAUCGACGCCGUGAAUACGUUCCCGGGCCUUGUACACACCGCCCGU